GUGAGGAAUAUUGGACAAUGGGCGCAAGCCUGAUCCAGCCAUGCCGCGUGCAGGAAGACGCAUCUAUGGUGUGUAAACUGCUUUUGUACGGGAAGAAACACUCCCUCGUGAGGGAGCUUGACGGUACCGUAAGAAUAAGGAUCGGCUAACUCCGUGCCAGCAGCCGCGGUAAUACGGAGGAUCCAAGCGUUAUCCGGAAUCAUUGGGUUUAAAGGGUCCGUAGGCGGUUUAAUAAGUCAGUGGUGAAAGCCCAUCGCUCAACGAUGGAACGGCCAUUGAUACUGUUAGACUUGAAUUACAAGGAAGUAACUAGAAUAUGUAGUGUAGCGGUGAAAUGCUUAGAUAUUACAUGGAAUACCAAUUGCGAAGGCAGGUUACUACUUGUGGAUUGACGCUGAUGGACGAAAGCGUGGGGAGCGAACGGGAUUAGAAACCCUAGUAGUCC
This 445-nucleotide ribosomal RNA is filed under the name uncultured bacterium. RNAcentral's name for it is "partial 16S ribosomal RNA". It matches the Rfam family "Bacterial small subunit ribosomal RNA", at positions 354 to 796 of the family's 1533-position model. The record is from RNAcentral.